Molecule: transfer RNA, 56 nt
Filed under: Schizosaccharomyces pombe (fission yeast)
Lineage: Eukaryota; Fungi; Ascomycota; Schizosaccharomycetes; Schizosaccharomycetales; Schizosaccharomycetaceae
Description: transfer RNA-Glu
Source: RNAcentral
CUCCGUCAGGGGAAUCGAACCCCCGCCGCAUCGGUGAGAGCGAUGAAUCCUAGCCA